UGCCAAUGAUGCUUUUUAAAUGCACGUAUUAUCAGAAUUAUAAGCUGAUGAUAUCUCAAUUGUCACUACCUCUGAGGCA
This is a small nucleolar RNA of Amaranthus tricolor (Joseph's coat), 79 nucleotides long. RefSeq annotates it as small nucleolar RNA snoR122. NCBI's taxonomy places the organism in Eukaryota, Viridiplantae, Streptophyta, Magnoliopsida, Caryophyllales, Amaranthaceae. The record is from RefSeq and is a predicted model, not a curated record. The transcript has a single exon.